UUCAGUUCAGCUCUCAGUCUGGCGCUGAAGCCGACCGGCCCCGGAAGACUUCGAAAGGGCUCGCGGAGAAGCCCUGCCUGCGGACUUCUCCAGCCCCCUGAGCCUGGGAACAGCCGACCUGCUGCAUUUCGGGGGCCGCGGGGCUCCCCAAGCUGCGAGCUCUUCUCACAGAAGAGUCCGUCUCUAUGGAGACUCGGCUGCUACAAGUUUGCGGGGCUCCACUGAGUUCUCAGUGGCUGAGCGGGUCUCUCCCUCCCCUCGCACCCCUGCUGCCUACCUCCUGUCCCUCGUCCCUUGCCCCCCCCCCCCCCGCCGUUGCCAUAGCGACCACCUGCGGUGGAGGGAUUGGCGAAUUCGGCGUUCCAGAAGCCGGCGCAGACAAAAGGCAGGAUUCUGCUCGGCUCGCAGGCCCGUCCCCGUCGCCAUGGUUACCACCACGGAGCUUUGUCUGCCCCGUCUCUGCAGAUUUCGGUCCCAAGGCUUUUCCCCGCCCCAGGAAGGAAAGUUCUCGGAUUUGCUGUCGAGUCCGAUGUUCUUCAAGAUAACUUUCUGGAAUGGACUUGCAUCUAGAGAGUAGUAGCCAGCAAGAUGACUGGGUAUAGAGAAGGAAGCUUUUAUCUAUAAGAAAAUGUACCAGCAAGGAGACCAGCCAAGAUGAUGGAGUAGGAGGAAACUAUUAAACUCAGCUCUGGGCAACACUCUGCCCUUUUCCUGAACUACCUACCUCAAUCCCCAGCUGAACCCCAGGGUGUAGGUUCUACAUGGCUAACACUGAUCCCAAUCCCUUGAGAGGGAGAGAGGACCUUGAACUCAUCCUCUGUGGCAAAGAAAAGGACUGAAGCAUGGUUACCUUGAUCCUGCUCAAGGGAGGAAGGAGGACUCUAAGACAUCACCUAGGCAGGGAGUAAGCUAUCAGUAUGGUCCCUCAAAUGUCAAUCCCUGCAUGUUUCAAAGGAUCAAAGACUCAUUCCCAGAUGAGAAUCAGGGACUCACAUUUUCUAGAAGAGAAGGGAUUCAGCCAACACUCAAAUAGCAGGACCUCAGCAAAGUCAUUUUGAUUAAUAAUAAUAAUAAUAAUAAUAAUAAAAGAUGCCAGGAAUGCCCAAAACAUAAAAGCAAAGCCUCAAAGAAAAAUACAGAUUUCCCACAAGAUCAAUGAGAAUUCCAAGAAGGAAUGAUGUAAUUUUUUUAAAGAGUGUAAAAUAAUAUUAUGAAUAAAAGGAGAGUAAUGGGGGAAAAGAAUUGAAAAAAAAGAGAAGAAACUUAUCAAAAUUAUAGAGAGAUUUAGAAAAUUAAUAAUUUAACACAAGAGGUUACUUUAUCCAGAUAACUAACACUCUGAAAAUUAGAAUGGACUAAGUAAUUCAUUAGAAAAUAAAGACUUUUAAAAGUCAAAAGAUAAGGGCCAGCUAGGUGGGCAGUGGAUAGAACAGCAGCCCUGAAGUCAGGAGAACCUGAGUUCAAAUCUGGUCUCUAGACACUUAACACUUCCCAGCUGUGUGACCCUGGGAAAGUCACUUAACCCCAAUUGCCUCAGCAAAAAAACCAAAACAAAACAAAAACAAAAAAAACAAAACAAAAACAAAAACAAAAAAAGUAAGACAUCUAUCAAAAAGCACUGAGCUGGAAAACAGAUGGAAGAAAAAGAAGUUAGUAGUCACUGGACCACGCCAAUGAUUGAAAGACCAAAUGCCAAGAUAAAAAAGAAAGAAAUACUAUAUUUUUAAAAUAAUGAAAGAAAAUUCCCCAGAUAUAUAAAAAGAUGGACACUCCAAAAUAGAAAGUAUCCACUAGUCAUCUCCUAAAAACAAAUUAAAAUAAAAAUAUUGAAUGAUAUAGCCAAAAUCCAGAACUUCCAGGUUAAAAAAAAAGUAUUACAAGAAAUCAGAGUGAAAGCAUUCAAGUAUGAAGGAAUCACAGGAUCACACACAAAAAUAUGUAGAUGUGGAGGGAAUGGAAAAAAUUCCAAAAGGCAAAAGAAUCAAUAAUAGUUAACUAGGAAAAAAAUUAAUCUCACAGAGGGAAAAAAUGAAACUUCAGUGAAAUAAAGGAUAUUCAAGUGUUCCUGAUGAAAAUACCAGAGCUGAACAGAAACUUUGAAAAACAAAUACAGCAAUCAAAAGAAACAUAAAAAGGUAAAUGGGAAUAAUCAAAAUGGACUUAUAAGAAUGAGCUUUUUACAUUCCAAUUAAGAAGAUGAUACAAGGAUCUCCUUAGGACUCUAAUAUCAUAAAGGUUUAUAGAGGGAGUCAAAUAAGAGGGCCUGAAAGUACUUUUCUUAUGUUUUGAUUAUCUUGAGGAAAAAAAGGGAGGAUAAAGAACACACUAAGAGCAAAGGGGGAGUAGAAUCUAUUAUUUCACAUAAUUAGUGAUGUGGCUGAUGUAGCAUUGGAUGUUAUUUAGGUACCAGAUGAUGAUAGGCAGCAAAAGUUAGGCUUUGGUUACAUGAAGAGUUCAUAAUGGCCACUUUCUUUGUCAAAAGAUAGAUUUAUUUUAAAAAGGUUACAGACAAAGUGGAGGGAUGCAAUAGAUACCAGGAAUGGUAAAUAUGAAAUAGAGUUGGGAGAGCAUAGAAAAGGGCUUUAAUAAUUAAUGGUGGAAAUGGCAAAUUCUCUAAUGGAAUUUGCCAUUUACCAGGAGAAAGAGAGCACCCCAUGAGGUUGGGGCUUUCCCUUAGCUAGCUGGCAGAAUAAAUCCUGAAAGGGCCUUGGCACCCUAAAAGAGUUAGUCAUGAGAAGUGUGGUCAGAAAGCAUAGUGGAAUUAAGAGACAGACCAAGUGGCAUGGGGGAAGGGGAAUGAGAUUGUUGUGAUGGACUCAAGGAGAUUCUGUGCCAAUGGCAUGGGCCAUAAGCAGAUUUAUAGGGAACAUUUAGCCUCAGGGAAUUGAUAUAACAUGGGUUUCUGCCCGGAUUACCUCCGAAGAAGGUGAGACCACAGAGCUGAACUGAUCUCUAUCAGAGCCCUCUUCCUGCCUGCCCGAGGCAACAACUUUUUCAGUGCUUCAGUUUCUAUCAACCACAUCCACCAUUCAGGACCCCCUCAAUCAAUUAGAUUGUCUGUAUAACUUGGAAAGGGAUAAGGGGAUCUGGGCUUAUUUGAACACUCCACUUUCAUCUCUACCAUGGAACACACUUUAAAGAAAAGUGGAACACAGUUUGAUAUAGAAAUACAUACAACUGAACAGGGAAACAGGAGAGAACAACAAAAUAAUGGAAAGGAGUGGGGAUAAGAGUAAGGGUAGCAGUGGGAAAGAAUUAAUCCUAAGGAAAAAUAAAUGCUCAACUUGGAGAGGAGAUAGCAAAAAAGAGGCUAAAGGGAAAGAAAUAGGGGAGAUCUGUAAUAAAGAAGGGACCAGUACCAAAGCAUAGAAAAAGUGCAAGAAUAGUACAGAGAGUAAUACACAAUGACCAUGAUUAUGAAUGUGAAUAAGAUGAAGUCAAGUAUAAAAUGGAAGCAGAUGGUCCAACAGAUUAGGAAGCACAAUCCAGCAAUGAUGUUUGCAAGAAACAUGAGGAUAAAUUCCUCCAGAAGUAAAGUGUGAGAUUGGAGCAAAAUACCUUAGCUAAACUAAAACAAACAAAAAACAGUGGUAGUAUGAUUAAAGACAAGGCAACAGACAAAACAAAAUUAAUUAAAAGAGACAAACAGGGAAACGACAUUUUGUUGAAAACUACUAUAGGAGAUAGUGUUAAUACUCAUAUAUGCACAAUGGCAUAGCUUCUAAACACUUAAAGGAACAGCUAAACAAAACAGCUAGUUGACAGUGCAUGAAGCACUGGACUCAGAGUCAGGAAGACCCAAGUUCAAAUCCAGAUUCAGACACUAGCUUUGUGGCCUUCGACAAGUCAUUUUACUGCUUCAAUUUCCUCAACAGUAAAAUGAGGAUAAUACUAGCACCUUCCUCCCAGGGUUAUUAUGAGGAUUAAAUGAGAUAAGAUUUGUAAAGCACUUAUCACAGUGCUUGGCACAUAGCAGAUUCUUAAUAAAUGCUUGUUCCCUAAUCCCUACUCCCUACCACCACAUGUAAUGCUGGAGAAACUGAGACAGGAGAGAGAUUAGAGUUUUUAAUAUUUUAUUAAUGGGAGAGUAAGAUUGACUGGACAGGACUCUCAUCUCAAAUGAUCCAGUCAGACAGAGAUAAAGAUAUACUGGGGCCAAGGAAUCCAUGUUGGUCCCAGGGCUGGAGGAGACUGUCAUCCCAAAGAAUCCAGCCUCCAGCAUCCAGCCGCCAGCAAUGAAUGGAGGAACCCCAACUUCUUAAAUACCUUUUCUCUAAACAAAGGAAGGGGUAAGAAGCACAGGAAAACUUCUGUCAGAAUAGGGGAGGUCAUAAAUCCUAAAAACCCAGAGACAGGCUGUAUGCAUACACAGAAAUAGAUAUCAGUGAGGUAUCUUGGAAUAUUUUAGAGGGAUAUUGUAAAUUCUUGAGGAGAAAAGAGUCAGGAGGUCUACUCUCUUGUUUAUUUUGCUAACAAUUUAUAACCUUAGAGCAAAUGGUCCUCAGUCUUAAUGGACCAGAAGGGGGAGUUUACUUAGGGGAUUGAGACAGAACAGUUAAAGAAACUGAGACAAGGGAAACUAGUACAGGGAAACUGAGUCAGGACAGUUAAAGAGAACUGUGGCAUAACACACAUAGCCACAAUAAAUUAUUGGGAGAAAUAGUAAAAUUGCAUAAAUUGGAGAGUUCAAAAUACCCCUUUCAUAGUUAGGCAAACCUAAUCAUAAAAAGAAUAACUUGAAUCUUAGAAAAAUUAUGACAGGAUAAAGCUCUGGUAACUGGUGAGGUGAUAACAUGAUCAUAAUGGUUAAUGACACAAAGAAAUUAUGUCAUAUACAUUUAUCACAGGAAACAAAGAUUUGCAAGGCAGAGUCAUAGGUGGUUAAGCCUCAUAUUUUUGAGGGGAAUAACUUUUAAAGUCUCGAGGUGGGGCAGGGAGAGGAGGAACAGGGGCCUGAUCUAGGGAGUAAGAGGAGUAGUAUAGAGGAGUUGGGGAGAGGCCAGGGAGGAAUCAAAGAGGAUCAGGCUCCAAACUCAUCUAAAGACAUGCUAAUCAAGGCAGUCCCAGAGGUUGGAGACUUGGAUGGAUGGAUGAACAAUGGACUCCAGCUUCACAUCAUUCUAUGCUAACAAGACAAUAAGAAAACUGACCUGAUCAUGAUUAAUACUAAGAACAAGAUGGACUCAUUUUUAGCAAUUCCUGAGAAUAAGCUGAUUUAAAGUUCUCAUCAAUUGGGAAUAGAAAGAAAUAGAAAAUAGAAAAGAAUAACAUCACAAAAAUCAGCUAAGUAUUAGGGCAUAAAAAUCUCACAGAAAUGCACAAAAGUACAAAUAAUAAACAACCUUUCUGAGUACAAUGCAGUAAAAUCAUAUUCAAUAACAGACUAUUAUUAUUAUAUAUUAAGAUUAAAAGAUUAUAUAUUAAGAUUAAACAUUAACUGAAGAACAAAUAACAAUCCUAAAGAAUUAGUUGAAGAAAAAAAUCAUAAAAAUAAAAGCUAGAGAACCAAUAAAAUAAAAAACCCCAAGUUAAAAACCAAAAUCAAAGAGAUUAAUAAAAUUAUAAGCAAAAAAUGAAUGUUAAUAAAACUAAGAAAUUUUUUUGAAAAAUGAAUCAUUAGCUAAUUUGAUUAAAAAGAUUAGCAUUAUUAAAAAUGAGAAUCUACAACAAAUGAAGAAAUAAAAAAUAACAUUGGAAACUAUUUUGCCCAAUAAUUCCAAUAAAUCUAACAAGUUUAGUACUGAGAAAAGUAUAGAUACAAUUAACAACAAAAAUUGUAUGCUUAUAUUGAUAUGGACAAAAAUCUUUGUUAAAAAUCAAUAAUAAGCAGCCUUUAACAUGUUGAAUAGUAUAUAUCUAAAACUAAGAUCCAACAUCAUAUAUCUAUAUAUGUCUAUAAUGAAGAUACAUUGACUCCUUUCCAAUACACAUGGGUAAGGCAAGAAUGCUCACUAUCACCAUUAUGAUGCAAUAUACUAGAAAUGCUAGUUAUAACAGUUAAGACAAAAACAAAAAAAUUGAGGGAAUAAAAGUAUAGGCAAAGAAAAAACAAAAUUAAGAUUUUUUUGCAAAUAAUAUGAUAAUGUAGUUAAAGAACCCUAGAAAAUCAAUGAAAAAUUAAUUUGAAAUAAUAACUUCUGCAAAGCUGCAAGAAAUAAAAUCAAUCCAUAUCAUCAUCAUUGGUAACAUAUAGAAAUGGACCAGCAGUUCUGUUUGUUAGUAAAAAAAAAAAUCAUAGCAUAAAGAGAAAUGCUAUAUGAAAAUGUAAAAAAAAAAAAAAAAAACUUGGGAGUCAAAAAUGUAUGACUAUAAUUAUAAAUCACUUUACAAAAUUCAAGAUAAUUGGAGAAGUAUUCAUUGCUCAUGCAUACUUGCAGGGGUCUUCAAACUAUGGCCCGGGCCAGAUGCGGCAGCUGAGGACAUUUAUCCCCCUCACCCAGGGCUAUGAAGUUUCUUUAUUUAAAGGCCCACAAAACAAAAUUUUUGUUUUUAACUAUAGUCCGGCCCUCCAACAGUCUGAGGGACAGUGAACUGGCCCCCUAUUUUAAAAGUUUGAGUAUUUAUUACAUUGAGGACUAAUGCAGUAAAAUGACUACAAAAUAAAUUAAUAUUCAAUGCCAUACCAAGCAAACUAUCAACAGAUUACUUUAUAGAGCUAUAAAAAAUACUGAAAAUGAGCUGAAGGAACAAAUUAUAAUGAAUCUCAAGGGAAGGACAGAGUCAAAAUCGAAGCAAUGCAGUGAACUACUCUCUUUAUACUCCUGUUAAAGAUAUGAAAAAUGCAUACAAUUGAGUAAUAAAGGGAAAGUCCAGAAAAAGUCAUAGCAAGUUAUUUGUCCAACCCAUCUUGGGUUAGGAAGCCAGAAAGGGAACUCUUCAGACAUUGGAGACAGGGUUGGAGCACCUUCUGGGAAGCACUAUGACAAACAAGGAGAAACUUUGCAUUAGGUCAAGAGGAGGUCUCAGACCCAUGCCAACGUGCUAUGAUGGACACAGCUUCCUGACAGCUUUGUGCCCACUCACUAGUCUUGGGUUGCAGAUCCAGAGCAGAGUGAAAAGGGAACAUGUUCACAGCAGUGGCAUUCCUGGGUAAGGAAGUUCUUGUGAAUGUGUGAGAGAGGAAGUUCAGAAGCCAAGGGCAACACCAAACAGCAGUGUGGGGCUCAGGCCACAGCUGUGGAGCAGGGCCUCAUUUCCAUCAUCUAGCUCACCUAACAUAGGUAUAACUGGGGUAGGAAUCCUAGAUCUAAGGGGAGCCUGCAACUUUGAACUAACAGAAUUUUCCAGCUGAUUGAUGGGGCCUGAGUAUGGCAACAGUCUAUUAUUUUUGCCUAGACCCAAACCCAGAGCAAGAGCUUGCACCAGAAGGGCAGCAAUCAGGCUUUGCCUUGGAUCAGCUCACUUGGAAAGCACUGAAAGCUUGCAGGUCCCCCACUUGUCCUCAAAAUCUGAGAAUAACACUACAUAAUACCCCUAAGAAAGCAACAGGAUCAGUCCAGACCUUCCCUCCAGAAUGUUGCAGAGCCCAGUCCUAAGACUGAAUCCAAUGUAAGAAAGUAGGCUGGAAGAAUAGACAAACACAAAAAGAACUCACUAUAAUGACUUAUUAUUUUGGCAAGAAUUUUCACAACAUAGACUCAGAAGGGAAUGACUCCGAAACACUUAUAAGAAAAGCCUCAGAGAAAAACACAGCUUUGCAACAAACUCAAUUAGAAUUCCUGGAAGAGAUAAAGCAAACUUUAAAAAAAGUUAAUUUUUAAAUAAAUGGAAUGAGAAUGCUUGAAGGGAAAAGUGGGAAAAUGAAAGGUAUGGAAGAAAGAACUAGAAAGGGCAUUAGCAGCAGAGUACAAUGGCACAAAACCUUGUGCAAGCAACAAACUCCCCAAAAUUAGAAUGGGCCAAAUAGAAGCCAAUAAUUCCAUGAGGCAACAAGAAAUAUUAAAAUAAAGUCACAAAGCUGGAAAAAAAUAGAAGAAAAUGUAUAUUAUAGCAAAAACAGCUGACCUGGAAAACAGGUUAAGGGAGGGAAUUUUAAUUUUCUGAACUAUCUGAAUAUUGUGAGCAAAUGAAGGGCCUAGACAUCCUAUUUCUAGAAAUCUUUAAAAAUUUCUUAGAGCUUGAGAGCAAAGGAAAAAUAGAAAGAAUACACCUUCACAUCCUGAAAGAAACCCUCAAAUGAAAAUUCCCAGGAACAUUAUAGCCAAAAUCCAGAGUUUUCAGGUAAAAAAAAUGCUGUUAGAAGCCAGAAGGAAAGAAUUCAAAUACUAAGUCAGGAUCACCUAUGAUUUAGCAGCCACCACUCUAAAGGGAUAUGAUAUUUCAAAUAUCCAGAAUACAAAUGAUUAUGGUCAAGAAUAACUUGCCCAGAAAAACCGAAUAUAAUGCAAAUGGGUGGGAGGAGGUGGACCCUUAAUAAGACAGAGGACUUUUAAGCAUUCCUAAUGAAAAGACCAGAGCUAAAAAUUUUGAAGUGCAAACAUGAGAAGAGAAAUAUAAAAAGGCAAAUACCAAUGAACAAUUAUAAGGGAUAAGAUAAACUGCUUAUAUUCAAAUAUGGAGAGA
Antechinus flavipes (yellow-footed antechinus) is the source of this 8562-nucleotide long non-coding RNA. RefSeq lists it as uncharacterized. The record is from RefSeq and is a predicted model, not a curated record. The transcript is spliced from 3 exons. Lineage: Eukaryota; Metazoa; Chordata; Mammalia; Dasyuromorphia; Dasyuridae.